Molecule: long non-coding RNA, 921 nt
Filed under: Equus caballus (horse)
Lineage: Eukaryota; Metazoa; Chordata; Mammalia; Perissodactyla; Equidae
Description: lncRNA (ENSECAG00000041535.2)
Source: RNAcentral
AGGAUCUAGAAUUAAUCCCUAAGAGCUGUGCCAGAUGACACAAUAACUUGAGGGAGGUAGAUGUCAUGCUCAGAAUCCUGUCUCUUGCCUGUCUCUGAGGCGUGGCUCCCAGCCACGUUUAUUUGUUUGUUUUCCUACCUUUGGGCCUCAUCCAAUUAGACCCCAGGCCGUCCUACCCACCUCAGAGCUCUGAUGUCAGCAGUUCUUUAAGCACAACAAAGCAACUAUAAAUCUUCAGGUGACCUCUGCGCCCAUUCAUGAGUGAAGUUCCUCUCCUGCUCCUUUCUGAUUAGGGGUGAGAACAUAUUGUAUGUGUUCCCAGCGACAGGAAGAAUACUUUCUAAAGGACAACUUCAGCCUUUGUUUCUUCAUAAAGGCAGCAAAAGACGCUAUAUGAAAUGUGCCAGAAAAUAAAGGACUGAGGACAUGCCACUUGGAUGGCACUGGAGUUGGCCUGUUUUCCAGAGUCACUGAGACGGGAACCAGCCUAAGGAGACAAGGCCAUCUGCAAGGCCCCAGGUCUAACAAGAUAAGACCCUAACAAGAUUGGCUGUAACCAAUUGGCAGGCUGGAGAAUCAGAUAGAGGCCGCCAAGAUGCACAUUCCGCACCCUCUGGGCUUGCCCGGGUUACCCAUGCACCCUAGCACCCAGAAGUGCACUGAAGCUGACUCUAGCCCCAUUAGCAUAGUAAAAAUCAGACCUGGGGUGGGGAGCGAACAUGCUAAUGAUACACGCAUCACAUGAGGUGGCAUGUUGAACAACACAGGAGCAAGGAAAGCCCCACCUCUACAUGCCACAACAAGGCGCUCCUCUCCAGCUUUUGCCUAACAAAAGCCCCAAAAUCCUGCUGCCCAACAAGCCUGUCACCUGCCCCUUUCCUUUCCACUCUGACUCCCUUCUGCCUCUCCUGUGCACAAGCU